CUCAGCCCCCAGCAGCGCCUUCGGCCCAUUCACGCUCUUACCCAUGGCAGGAAGUCCUUGUUAAGGGGACCGCGAGCAGGCACCGGCUCCUGUGGGUCGCGGGCUGGCUCUCCUCGGCGGCGUUGGGGGCCCUCGUCAUUCUCUACGUCAGGAAACCCGGAGGCGGAGGGGGCCCGGCGGCCCGCGGCUGUCUCCUUGCAGGUGCCUGAGAGCUCAGGGCCCUUCGUGUCAUCGCCUGAGACCCGAGAUGCAGACGCUCCGGUCCCCAGGAUGGGGGCGCGCCGCCUGCCUGAAGAUGACCUGGACAUGGCGUCCGAGCCCCUGAUCCUCCCCGGGGCCCCGGAGAGCCCGGCGGGGGUGGAUGGCCCGUGGCCGGAGGCGGAGGCGGGUGACGAGGCCGGGCCCCACGCUGGUCACCACGGCCUGACCCUUCUUCACCCCCCGCCCCCCCGGCCUGAGGGUCAGGCUGAGGUCCCGGUGGGUCGUGUGGGCGCAGAGGGGCCACGUGCUGCUGCUGAGGAGCCCGGGAGGCCCGCGAGGCCGCCGUCCCGCCUCGGAGACCAGGUGGCCACACAGGACGGUCUGCAAUCAAAACGUUCCCACCCCGGCCGGCGUGGCUCCGUGGUUAGCGCGUCGGACUGUGCACGGAAGGGUCGGAAGUUCCAUUUCCGGUCCAGGGCUCGGACCUGGGUUGCAGGUUCACCCCUCACCCCCUGUCAGAGCCCCUGGGUGAGACAACCAGUCGAUGUGUCUCUCUCUCGCCCCCCUCCCUCCAUCCCUUAUACCCCCUUUGGAGACUCCAUGGAAGACACAUCCUCAUCAAAACGACAAUGAGGACCCGAGCGUAAUAAAUGUAACUCCAAACUAAAAAAAAAACAAACAAACAAAACCCAAAAAACAAAACAAAACAAAAAACAACAAUGAGGUACCACCUCACACCUGUCAGAAGAGGAUGCGGAGAAAAAGGAACCCUCGUGCACUGCUGGUGGGAAUGCAGACUGGUGCAGCCACUGUGGAGAACAGUAUGGAGUUUCCUCAAAAAACUAAAAAUGGAACUCCCAUUUGACCCAGUGAUCCCACUCCUGGGAAUAUAUCCCAAGAAAAUGGAAACACCAAUCAGAAAGGAUAUACGCACCCCUAUGUUCAUAGCAGCACA
Eptesicus fuscus (big brown bat) is the source of this 1156-nucleotide long non-coding RNA. RefSeq lists it as uncharacterized. The transcript is spliced from 3 exons. Lineage: Eukaryota; Metazoa; Chordata; Mammalia; Chiroptera; Vespertilionidae. The record is from RefSeq and is a predicted model, not a curated record.